AACGCGAAGAACCUUACCUGGGCUCGAAGCACAGUGGACCGGGGUAGAAAUAUCCCUUUUCGCAAGAACUGCUGUGGAGGUGCUGCAUGGCUGUCGUCAGCUCGUGUCGUGAGAUGUUGGGUUAAGUCCCGCAACGAGCGCAACCCUUAUCGUUAGUUGCCAGCGGGUCAAGCCGGGCACUCUAGCGAAACCGCCCCGGAUAACGGGGAGGAAGGUGGGGAUGACGUCAAGUCCUCAUGGCCUUUAUGUCCAGGGCUACACACGUGCUACAAUGGUCGGUACAAACCGUCGCAAACCUGCGAAGGGGAGCUAAUCGGAAAAAGCCGGCCUCAGUUCGGAUUGGAGUCUGCAACUCGACUCCAUGAAGCUGGAAUCGCUAGUAAUCGCGGAUCAGCACGCCGCGGUGAAUACGUUCCCGGGCCUUGUACACACCGACUGUAC
This 441-nucleotide ribosomal RNA is filed under the name uncultured bacterium. RNAcentral describes it as "bacterial SSU rRNA". It matches the Rfam family "Bacterial small subunit ribosomal RNA", at positions 958 to 1399 of the family's 1533-position model. The record is from RNAcentral.